Molecule: long non-coding RNA, 4484 nt
Filed under: Anneissia japonica
Lineage: Eukaryota; Metazoa; Echinodermata; Crinoidea; Comatulida; Comatulidae
Description: uncharacterized LOC117103053
Source: RNAcentral
UAAUAAUAUACACAUAUACUCUCUAUAAUAAAAGCUCGCGGCAAUUUACUUCUGUGUAAAUCGCUAUCGACAUCUGGUUGAUAUCUGAUAUGGAUUGCAGACAUCAGAAAACUAAAGCACAUCACGAUUUCAAGCACGUUAUUAUACUAUCAACAGAAUUGCUAGACAAAAUACAAUGUGUGAACACCGUUUUACAUCAAAAUCAAAGCGUGUUAAAAUAAAAAUAUUGCAUUGUAUCGAGAGUGAGGUUGACCCAAAUUCACAACAACAAGAGUAUUCACUCACUCAAUGUAUACACUAAGUGUAUAGAAAAUUGGAGACCCUAAAAAACACACAAAGUUAUGUUUGUAUUAGAGUGUGAUGAUAAUAAUUAGCACCAAAAUGGGAACUGUCAGGGCUCAAAGGCAUACUGAAUAAUGCUGUCGAGUGAGUGAGUGAGUGGUUGGUAGUUGGUUUGCUCCGUCAAAAAGCGUCUUAAAACGUUGUUUUGCUGCAACUAUCAAUAACCGAAAGGAAUAUGUCUCUCAUUUGUGAUUGAUAUUCAAUUAUUAUUGCACCUUCUAUUUUAAGUCGGUAUGGUGAAAAAGACGGAAAAAUUGGAUGUAAGCCCCACAAAUCAAUUGGCCCUCCAUUGCUACAGCUGGAAUCUGCCGCUACGCCUAAUAUAGCGGAUGAAUCCCUGAUGCGCGAAUUUCAAAAGCUGUCGACAGACUUGUGGGGAAUUCGAGGCCAGCUGGAUUUUGUGCUAUAGAACCAGCAAGCCAUACUUACUAGGAUGGACAAUAUGGAAACCAAGGAAAUUCAAUUGGAAAAAAUCUAUCGAAUUCACGAACGUUUAAAUAGCUGACUAAUAAGGUAGAUAAUUUAACGAGUGAUUUCAAUGAUUUAUCAUCUACUGCUGAAUCAGAUAAAUCAAAUUUUACGUUAAUCUAGAUCAUUCAAUUUUCGUUUUGGAGGCGUUAUCGGAAGACAGAAAUGAAAAUGCAAUGGAGAAAAUAAAGGAUUUGAUCAGUAAUAGGCCUACACUGAACUUGCCUAACGUCAUUAUAGAAAAUGCUCACCGAACAGCGCUACGAAAUUUUUACCAAGGCAAGAACUUUGCUAAAGGACAGCAAUAAAUUUGUCAGAAAUGAUCUAUGCGAAGCUGAUUUGCUUAAAAAACGAAGCCUCCGAGACGUGAUGACAAAGGCUUAUAGUGAGGGGAAGAAGCCAUCAUUCCGUAACGGAAACCUCUAUAAAUGGACGAUUGCACAUCUAAAACAAGUCCGAUACGACCGGUACUAGAACUAUACAAAACUUGAUAUAAACAUUAUUAUUUGUUUAUGAAGACGGAGCAAGUAAACUAACUGUUUCUGUAUUAUUUUUAUAACUCGCUGAAAACUCGACAAAAGAAAUAACGAGUCAUGAGAUUCUUUAUUAUUGAUAUUUUUUUAAAUUAUUUAUUUACAAGUGUUGAUACUUAUUUGUUAUCUUGCAGUAUAUUUUUGUGUUCGCACUUUUAAUAGUGUCAUGUUUUAAAUUAUAAAAUGUGCUUUAUGUACCGGAAAUUCAAAUUUAACACCUGAUUCGACGUCGUGCAUAUCUUGCAAUAUUACAGUACACUUGAAAUGUAAUAAUAAAUCAGAAAACUGUCUCUGUUUAAACUGUGCCAAUAUUAUUUUUCCUUUUAACCAUAUUUUAGAUGACACCGAAUUUGUUCAUGAAGUUCAACAUUUUUUCUAGAUCAUAAGUUAAACUUUGAGAAAAUAAGCUCUCUCAAUUUAACCUUUGAUAUUGAUUUGUAUGAUAGCAAUGCAGAUAGUAACUUAUUCUUAAUUUUUCUUUUAGCACCUUUCAUCUAAAUGCCAGAAGCUUAGUUAAGCACUUCGAUGGAAUUAAUGAUUUCUUAAAUACAAUCAGUCACGAAUUGUGUUUUUCAGAGACGUUUUUUAACACUAAUAAAACCAACUUUCCUUUUUAGUAUACCUGGCUAUAACUUAUUGCACAAUUCAAGAUCUGAUAGGCCAGGAGGUGGUGUCGCCAUAUACCUAGAUCAGAGACUACAGAAUGCGUAAUGAUCUUUCCUCUAUUAUUUCUAGUAAUGCCGAAUCUAUUUUUAUUGAAAUCAAUGCUCAACAUAAAAAUAUUAUUCUUGAUCUACAGAAAUCCUGACUUAUCAGUUAAUACUUUUAAUUAAAAAAAUUUCCAAAAUCCUUGGAAAUUAUAAAUAAAAAAACCAAAACUUCGUACCUUACUGGUGAUUUCAACGUUAAUUUACUAAAUUGUAAAUACCCACUGCCAAAUAUCUGAAUUCAUUAAUAAUAUGUUUAAUUUUAAUUUUUAUACCUUAGCUACUAAACCAACACGAAUUACAACCAAAACUGCAACCCUCAUUGAUAAUAUUUUUUCUAAUAAAAUUAUUGAAAAAAAUUGCAUCUGGUAUUUUCUAUUCUGACAUAUCUGAUCACUUUCCCGUUUUCUUUUUAAACAAUAGCAUUUCAGCUGACAUACACGUCAGAUUAACCAACAGCCUAAACAUGUAUUUAUAACUAAACUUAAUAAUAAAACAAUUUCUAAUUUUAAAAAUGAGUUGUCUAAUACAAAUUGGUCUGAUCUAUAUAAUAAAGGUGACCCAAACUCUUCUUUUAACUUAUUUAAUUCUACAUUUAAGUUGGUAUAUAACAGGCAUUUUAAAAAACAAAAAUGUAGACGGAAUUUACGCAAAGAAAAAAGCCUUGGAUUUCAAAUUCACUAAUUAAGUCCAUUGAUACCAGAAAUACUGUGUACACAAAUUUAAAAUCGCAAAACUUAUUCCAAUUCAUAAAAAAGAAGACAUACGUCAGUUUAAUAAUCAUAGGCCUAUUUCAUUACUCCCCUGCUUAUCCAAAAUAUUUGAACGAUUAAUUUACAAAAGACUAUUUUUGCGAACAUAAUAUUAUUUAUAAUAGACAAUAUGGCUUUAGAAAACAAUAUUCCACUUACCUUGCAUUAAUUGACAUCCAUAACAAAAUAAAUUAUGCUUUAAGCAAAAACGAAGUAACAAUUGGAAUUUUCCUUGAUUUGUCGAAGGCCUUUGAUACCAUUAUUCACGAUAUUCUUAUUCAUAAGCUUGAACAUUAUGGUAUCAGAGGCUUCCACUACAAUUAAUUCAAAGCUACUUGUCAAACAGUCUAUAACUUUUUUUUUUUUAAUUCUGUGGGGGUUACCCACAACGUGCGGUGUAUCUCAGGGCUCGAUCUUAGGACCUCUCUUGUUUCUAAUUUAUGUUAUUGAUAUUCCAAGUUGUUCUAAAUUAUUUAACUUUACAUUAUUUGCAGAUGACACAAAUAUUUUCUAUUCGCAUAAAAAUAAAAAUAUAUUAUUUCAAAAAAUGAAUCAAGAGUUAAUUAAAAUAUCAGACUGGUUUAAACUAAAUAAAUUAUCUUUAAACAUUUCUAAAACAAAUUCUAUUAUAUUUAAUAAAUCUAAAACUACUAAAUUUAAAGAUGACCUAUACAUGGAUAAUGCUAAAAUUACUCGUCUAAACUAAAUUUUUAGGCGUUACAAUACACUCUAAUUUAAAUUGGAAGCCCCAUAUUGAUCGUGUAGCUAAUAUAAUUUCUCGAAAUUUAGGAAUGAUAAACAAAUAAAAGCUUUAUCUGCCGUCCAAUAUUCUAUUAAUUUUAUAUAGCACUCUUGUUUUACCGUACAUUUCUUACGAUAAUAUUGCAUGGGGCAGUAAAUACGAACAAAUUCGAAUCAUUAUGUCCUUAAGUUUGGAAAGUACGAAAUAUGUCAAACUCUUUCUCCUUCAAAAACGUACUUUGCGUAUUUUUGUGCACAUGCAUCAUAUAGGUCCCAUACUAAACUUUUAUUUCAUAAUUUUAAAGUUUCAAUAUAUGACUUAAAUAAACUUCAAAUAGCUAUAUUUAUGUUCAGAUUAUUUAAACAAACUUUAGCUUCUCAAUUAAAUGACUUUACAUCAGUUUCCUCUGUUCACAAUUAUCCCACAAGAUUUUCUACCGCAGCACAUGAUUUUAUUAUAGCCUCCUCCACAUUAUAUUUUAUAUUUUUAUGUUAUUGGUGGAAAAUAAAAGAAAUCUGAAUCUGAAUCUGCAUAGAGACUCGGGUCUCUAGAAUGAAACAUUCUUUAAAAGAUGAAAAAAUAUCAUCUGUUUUAGGUGAAUAAUUGUUUAAAUUGUCUAAAAGAACAUUUAUUGUAGAAACGUCAUGUCCUAACCUCCAUUUGACUUAUCACUUGACUACUACCGGGACCCAAUAGGUAAAAACGAAAUAAUAAGCGUCCCCUACCAAACCCCACUUGUGCCCUGCCACUCGACCCCUCUGGGCCCCGCCAUUAAGCCAAUUGAGCAGCCCUGGAAGCCAGGGCCGAUCUGGACGGCUCAAUGAAUUUAUAUUCCUGAACCCCCACAUUAGAUAUGCAAACUGUACAUGCGGUCCUUUCUGGUAAGUCCGCCCAUUGGUAAUGGUUGCAAAAAAAAAAAAAAAAAAAAAAAAAAAAAAAA